GACCUCUUAGUUCAGUGGUAGAACGUGAGAUUCCAGCGAUCAGUGUCCGGUUUAAACGGUGCUGCUUCCAUAACCUCAAGGUCGUCCGUUCAAUCCGGGCAGAGGUCA
Molecule: transfer RNA, 108 nt
Filed under: Auriscalpium vulgare
Lineage: Eukaryota; Fungi; Basidiomycota; Agaricomycetes; Russulales; Auriscalpiaceae
Description: tRNA-Trp
Rfam family: tRNA
About the family: Transfer RNA (tRNA) molecules are approximately 80 nucleotides in length.
Source: RNAcentral